Molecule: ribosomal RNA, 583 nt
Filed under: uncultured Actinomycetes bacterium
Lineage: Bacteria; Bacillati; Actinomycetota; Actinomycetes
Description: bacterial SSU rRNA
Rfam family: Bacterial small subunit ribosomal RNA
Source: RNAcentral
UGGAUUAGUGGCGAACGGGUGAGUAACACGUGAGUAACCUGCCCUUGACUCUGGGAUAAGCGUUGGAAACGACGUCUAAUACCGGAUACGAGCUUCCACCGCAUGGUGAGUUGCUGGAAAGAAUUUUGGUCAAGGAUGGACUCGCGGCCUAUCAGCUUGUUGGUGAGGUAAUGGCUCACCAAGGCGACGACGGGUAGCCGGCCUGAGAGGGUGACCGGCCACACUGGGACUGAGACACGGCCCAGACUCCUACGGGAGGCAGCAGUGGGGAAUAUUGCACAAUGGGCGAAAGCCUGAUGCAGCAACGCCGCGUGAGGGACGACGGCCUUCGGGUUGUAAACCUCUUUUAGCAGGGAAGAAGCGAAAGUGACGGUACCUGCAGAAAAAGCACCGGCUAACUACGUGCCAGCAGCCGCGGUAAUACGUAGGGUGCAAGCGUUGUCCGGAAUUAUUGGGCGUAAAGAGCUCGUAGGCGGUUUGUCGCGUCUGCUGUGAAAUCCCGAGGCUCAACCUCGGGUCUGCAGUGGGUACGGGCAGACUAGAGUGCGGUAGGGGAGAUUGGAAUUCCUGGUGUAGCGGUGGA